This 434-nucleotide ribosomal RNA is filed under the name uncultured Ruminococcus sp. RNAcentral's name for it is "partial 16S ribosomal RNA". It matches the Rfam family "Bacterial small subunit ribosomal RNA", at positions 341 to 792 of the family's 1533-position model. Lineage: Bacteria; Bacillati; Bacillota; Clostridia; Eubacteriales; Oscillospiraceae. The record is from RNAcentral.
ACGGAAGGCAGCAGUGGGGAAUAUUGCACAAUGGGCGCAAGCCUGAUGCAGCGAUUCCGCGUGAGGGAAGAAGGUUUUCGGAUUGUAAACCUCUGCCAUCGGGGACGAUAAUGACUGUACCCGCGAAGGAAGCUCCGGCUAACUACGUGCCAGCAGCCGCGGUAAUACGUAGGGAGCGAGCGUUAUCCGGAAUUACUGGGUGUAAAGGGAGUGUAGGCGGGACUGUAAGUCAGAUGUGAAAUAUACCGGCUCAACUGGUAGACUGCAUUUGAAACUGCGGUUCUUGAGUGAAGUAGGGGUAAGCGGAAUGCCUAGUGUAGCGGUGAAAUGCGUAGAUAUUAGGAGGAACAUCAGUGGCGAAGGCGGCUUACUGGGCUUUAACAGACGCUGAGGCUCGAAAGCGUGGGGAGCAAACAGGAUUAGAUACCCUGGUA